Molecule: ribosomal RNA, 517 nt
Filed under: uncultured bacterium
Lineage: Bacteria
Description: bacterial SSU rRNA
Rfam family: Bacterial small subunit ribosomal RNA
Source: RNAcentral
ACGAACGCUGGCGGCGUGCCUAAUACAUGCAAGUCGAACGGUCUUUCUAUGGAAGCUUGCUUCCACUGAGAAGAUAGUGGCGAACGGGUGAGUAACACGUGGGUAACCUGCCCAUAAGAGGGGGGAUAACAUCCGGAAACGGGUGCUAAUACCGCAUAGUUUUCUUGAUCGCAUGAUUGAGAAAGGAAAGACGGCCUUUGUGCUGUCGCUUAUGGAUGGACCCGCGGCGUAUUAGUUAGUUGGUGAGGUAACGGCUCACCAAGACGAUGAUACGUAGCCGACCUGAGAGGGUGAUCGGCCACAUUGGGACUGAGACACGGCCCAAACUCCUACGGGAGGCAGCAGUAGGGAAUCUUCCGCAAUGGACGAAAGUCUGACGGAGCGACGCCGCGUGAGUGAAGAAAGGUUUUCGGAUCGUAAAACUCUGUUGUCAGAGAAGAACAAGUUGGAGAGUAACUGCUCCAGCCUUGACGGUAUCUGACCAGAAAGCCACGGCUAACUACGUGCCAGCCGCCGC